UACCUCACCACACAUGUUUCCAUACAUAGCUUGAGUACUUGUUAUAGUCAUAGACAAUCACUGCCCAGAACAAGGCUGCCAUUGCUGCAGUCCAGUUAUCAAGUGUAGCUUUGGAACAUAGAAAUGGGGUUGACAGGACAGAAGAAGAAUUGGCAGGAGGGAUUCCAGUCCCACCUUGAGCAUUCCUAUUCACACUUUCCCAAUCCCACUCCCAGAAAAGAUUCCAGCCCAAAGGCUUUCAAUAGUGUUCACUUUGUGUCAUUGCCCUUAUUUAGUAUAAAAAUCAGAGUUACACAUGAUAACGGUGAUCACAUAACGUUAAAUUAGGCUCUUCCCACAGACAAGCAGAGAGCACAGACUAUCCAGCCCAGUCCGAAUUCCAAGGUUCCAUGUUUCGGAAAAGAGUGGGGUUUUCACUAGGAAAAGUUCUUUUUGUAGGAAACUAGAUGGUCCAACACAUUCAUGAGGCGGUGAAUCUCUCAGCCAUAGAUUUCAGAAUAAGGAAACUGAGAUUGGAAUGGGCUACAUCGUUUCCAAUUCUAGAGAUCACACUUCUGACCCCUCUUGACAUUUGAAAAAGUAGCCACUUUCUUUGGCCAAUGACAGUAAGAUUGAGCAUCAUUCUUGC
This 628-nucleotide long non-coding RNA is filed under the name Spirodela polyrhiza (greater duckweed). RNAcentral's name for it is "long non-coding RNA (SPOL_LNC001015)". The record is from RNAcentral. Lineage: Eukaryota; Viridiplantae; Streptophyta; Magnoliopsida; Alismatales; Araceae.